This 366-nucleotide long non-coding RNA is filed under the name Homo sapiens (human). RNAcentral describes it as "HSALNT0406194". Lineage: Eukaryota; Metazoa; Chordata; Mammalia; Primates; Hominidae. The record is from RNAcentral.
GGGCGGAGUCAGGGUAGAGGCCCCCGCCGAGAAAGGGGAGAAAGAGGCGGGCCCUGAGAAUUGGCUCGAGCGCGAAGGGGUGAGUGAUAGUCAUCUCUGAACUCUGAGACCCUGAGCAGCAGGAAGAUGGUGAAUAAAUGCAAGCCCCAGCUAUACAAUUACAACCUAGCCUGAGAGGAGGAAGAGGCCAGGAGGUGCAACUUCAGGUCCCAGGCGCCUCGCAACCAGCUUGCUCAUCUCAGGGUCCGCGAGACUGGGAUUUACACAAGCAGCACAGUCCCCUUGCAGAUUCUGCCUCUCUUUAAGCCCCCCUCAAACCACCACUUCAGGACAUCUUUUCUGACUCAGGGAUUUCUUUCUCCUGGG